This is a long non-coding RNA of Panicum hallii, 575 nucleotides long. RefSeq lists it as uncharacterized. The transcript has 3 exons. NCBI's taxonomy places the organism in Eukaryota, Viridiplantae, Streptophyta, Magnoliopsida, Poales, Poaceae. The record is from RefSeq and is a predicted model, not a curated record.
GCCAAAUGUUACGGAGGAUAUGAAUGCAGGUGCCCCCCAAAACACAAGUGUUGCCAGAGCUGACAACCUCACAGAUCUCCAUAGCCACUUGUACUCCUCACUUCGUAAAGCCUCUAUCUUUUGAAGGAGCUGCACUCUUCAAUGUCUGUAUGCACCGUCUUAUUUUGUUGAACAGGAAUUGACUGGAUAUACUUAUGAUGAAUACCAGUUGCAUCAAUGCAAAAGCGCCCAUCCAGAAGCAAGGGAUAUAUAAUUUGCAGCUUACUGGAGGAAUUGUGGAGCAAGCCACCGUGGUGGAGUCUCUCGUGCGUCCGACUGGGAGUCGUCAUGGGAACAAGUAAGCCGAGGCUCCCUCUAUCCAUGGCGAUGGUGUUGCGUGCCACCGCUGAGACUAGAGGGAGAGGGAGGGAGAGAGACGAAGAGAGACUCUUUGUGACAGAGGUCGAAUAUAAAUAGAGACUGGAGGAGGGCCCAAUGGCGGUAAGUGAAGUGCAAAUUUUAAAAAAUGACGCUGCCACUUCGAUUUGUGCUACUUUAUCAUAAAAAAGAGGAGUCUGGUUAGUGGGAAAUUUCUU